CAGCGAGGACGACCUCCCCCAUCGGGAAAAUAUCCGGGACGACCCGG
RNAcentral lists this non-coding RNA (47 nucleotides) under Pseudosulfitobacter pseudonitzschiae. Its description in RNAcentral is "Sulfitobacter pseudonitzschiae Guanidine-II riboswitch aptamer (mini-ykkC)". It matches the Rfam family "Guanidine-II riboswitch aptamer (mini-ykkC)". Rfam says of the family: Simpler in structure and has fewer highly conserved nucleotide positions than the ykkC-yxkD leader. Despite this each of its two stem-loop structures directly bind free guanidine. Therefore, mini-ykkC RNA motif represents a distinct class of guanidine-sensing RNAs. RNAcentral also lists the same sequence under 1 other name. The record is from Rfam by way of RNAcentral. Lineage: Bacteria; Pseudomonadati; Pseudomonadota; Alphaproteobacteria; Rhodobacterales; Roseobacteraceae.